This 465-nucleotide ribosomal RNA is filed under the name uncultured Streptococcus sp. RNAcentral's name for it is "bacterial SSU rRNA". It matches the Rfam family "Bacterial small subunit ribosomal RNA", at positions 338 to 795 of the family's 1533-position model. Lineage: Bacteria; Bacillati; Bacillota; Bacilli; Lactobacillales; Streptococcaceae. The record is from RNAcentral.
CCUACGGGAGGCAGCAGUAGGGAAUCUUCCGCAAUGGACGCAAGUCUGACGGAGCAACGCCGCGUGAGUGAAGAAGGUUUUCGGAUCGUAAAGCUCUGUUGUAAGAGAAGAACGAGUGUGAGAGUGGAAAGUUCACACUGUGACGGUAUCUUACCAGAAAGGGACGGCUAACUACGUGCCAGCAGCCGCGGUAAUACGUAGGUCCCGAGCGUUGUCCGGAUUUAUUGGGCGUAAAGCGAGCGCAGGCGGUUAGAUAAGUCUGAAGUUAAAGGCUGUGGCUUAACCAUAGUACGCUUUGGAAACUGUUUAACUUGAGUGCAAGAGGGGAGAGUGGAAUUCCAUGUGUAGCGGUGAAAUGCGUAGAUAUAUGGAGGAACACCGGUGGCGAAAGCGGCUCUCUGGCUUGUAACUGACGCUGAGGCUCGAAAGCGUGGGGAGCAAACAGGAUUAGAUACCCGGGUAGUC